This 220-nucleotide unclassified non-coding RNA is filed under the name Hevea brasiliensis (rubber tree). Lineage: Eukaryota; Viridiplantae; Streptophyta; Magnoliopsida; Malpighiales; Euphorbiaceae. The record is from RNAcentral.
GCACUUGGUAAUUUAAUCUCAAUAAAAAUAAAAUGAAAAUGAGUCCUAAUCUUGCAUCAUAGCCUCAAAAUUGGCUUGUAUUGUAUAUCAAAUGCACAUCCCAAGAAGGGCUGUACAAUUCAAAAUUUUCUAUAACAACUAGCGAGUUUAACAGCAGAAUGCCGCUUUUGCCUGAAUGAGGGUGAAAAGAAUGAAGGUAACAUUUAAAACUACAAAAAUU